AUUGAACGCUGGCGGCAGGCCUAACACAUGCAAGUCGAGCGGAUGAAGGGAGCUUGCUCCUGGAUUCAGCGGCGGACGGGUGAGUAAUGCCUAGGAAUCAGCCUGGUAGUGGGGGAUAACGUCCGGAAACGGGCGCUAAUACCGCAUACGUCCUGAGGGAGAAAGUGGGGGAUCUUCGGACCUCACGCUAUCAGAUGAGCCUAGGUCGGAUUAGCUAGUUGGUGGGGUAAAGGCCUACCAAGGCGACGAUCCGUAACUGGUCUGAGAGGAUGAUCAGUCACACUGGAACUGAGACACGGUCCAGACUCCUACGGGAGGCAGCAGUGGGAAUAUUGGACAAUGGGCGAAAGCCUGAUCCAGCCAUGCCGCGUGUGUGAAGAAGGUCUUCGGAUUGUAAAGCACUUUAAGUUGGGAGGAAGGGCAGUAAGUUAAUACCUUGCUGUUUUGACGUUACCAACAGAAUAAGCACCGGCUAACUUCGUG
RNAcentral lists this ribosomal RNA (483 nucleotides) under uncultured bacterium. RNAcentral describes it as "partial 16S ribosomal RNA". It matches the Rfam family "Bacterial small subunit ribosomal RNA", at positions 30 to 507 of the family's 1533-position model. The record is from RNAcentral.